RNAcentral lists this transfer RNA (72 nucleotides) under Camelus bactrianus (Bactrian camel). It matches the Rfam family "tRNA". Rfam says of the family: Transfer RNA (tRNA) molecules are approximately 80 nucleotides in length. Their secondary structure includes four short double-helical elements and three loops (D, anti-codon, and T loops). RNAcentral also lists the same sequence under 2 other names. The record is from Rfam by way of RNAcentral. Lineage: Eukaryota; Metazoa; Chordata; Mammalia; Artiodactyla; Camelidae.
GAGGGUAUAGCUCAGUGGUAGAGAGUGUGCUUAGUAUGCACGAGGUCCUGGGUUUAAUCCUCCAUACCUCCA